RNAcentral lists this small RNA (206 nucleotides) under Spermophilus dauricus (Daurian ground squirrel). Its description in RNAcentral is "7SK RNA (ENSSDAG00000018139.1)". It matches the Rfam family "7SK RNA", at positions 1 to 199 of the family's 331-position model. Rfam says of the family: 7SK was discovered as an abundant small nuclear RNA in the mid-70s but a possible function has only recently been suggested. Two independent studies have found that 7SK RNA binds the CDK9/cyclin T complex (known as elongation factor P-TEFb). Lineage: Eukaryota; Metazoa; Chordata; Mammalia; Rodentia; Sciuridae. The record is from RNAcentral.
GAAUUUGAGGGUGACCUGGCUGUGACAAGCCACCCACUGAUCACCAGUGUUUUUUCAACUGAUCUUACUGGCUUGCUGGUGUCCCUUUCUCCUCCACAGUUCUGUGUCUGUCCUUCCUGAAGCAGAAUGCUCGGUCAUAAAGGACACUUUCUUUUUUUUUCUAUCAAUAAUAAAGAACUUUCUACAUUGACUGUGAGUCUAAGUGU